CGUUUAAUGGUUGUGCUGCUAAAUCCAAGUAGGAUGGUUUUCAUCAAACCAUACUGACCACCAUUAAAUAAUUUGUAGAACAUACAUCUUUCACCUGUGAAACUUUGACCAUUCACUUAUUUAUAAAUAUUUUUGUAGUUCUUGACUUUGAAAGUAAUGUUCCUUUGCUUCUAACUCUCUCUCUUUUGGCAGUCUUCGAUGGCUUGGUGAGGACCACAUGGUUCAGGCUCCCCUUGUAGAGGGGGUUUCAACUCAUAUAUACAUAUCACAAACUGAACCGAGGGGUAGACCGGAUCACCAACCCCGCCUACCAACAGGAGAAUCCAUGAGCUUCGGUAAUCAUGUAUCUGUGAGUAUAGACCAGAUUUUGGCUCCCAAUAUCUCUGUGCACGGACGCUAUAACCCUGGCUACCUUAACCAAUAAAUUGAUAGACGGAAUUAGGG
Molecule: long non-coding RNA, 444 nt
Filed under: Elaeis guineensis (African oil palm)
Lineage: Eukaryota; Viridiplantae; Streptophyta; Magnoliopsida; Arecales; Arecaceae
Description: long non-coding RNA (EGUI_LNC000092)
Source: RNAcentral